RNAcentral lists this ribosomal RNA (157 nucleotides) under Pratylenchus pinguicaudatus. RNAcentral's name for it is "5.8S ribosomal RNA". It matches the Rfam family "5.8S ribosomal RNA". Rfam says of the family: 5.8S ribosomal RNA (5.8S rRNA) is a component of the large subunit of the eukaryotic ribosome. The record is from RNAcentral. Lineage: Eukaryota; Metazoa; Nematoda; Chromadorea; Rhabditida; Pratylenchidae.
CUAGUCUUAUCGGUGGAUCACUCGGCUCGUGGUUCGAUGAAGAACGCAGCUAAAUGCGAUAAAUAGUGCGAACUGCAGAAACGUUGAGCACAAAAGCUUCGAAUGCACAUUGCGCCAUGGGAGUCACUUCCUAUGGCACGCCUGGUUCAGGGUCAUU